CAAGAAUACCAUUUACGGGCGCAAUCCGCUAGCAAACACGCCAACUGUUGAGUCGGGCUCUCCGUGAAAGGUCAUCUUUGGACGGACAAAGAUCGUCACUGCAUCAGGGUGGGUGGUCGACUUGGAGGAAUCCAAAUUUCAAGGUCGCCAUUGAGCACGUGGGAUCUGCUUCCUGUGACCUGAUCCAAUCUUCGACUGCAAAAUUCCCAGAUUUUGUUGGAAACACUCCGAGGCGCCGCGUUACUGUAGCAAAUAUUAAGCGAGGCAAAGCAUCGCGAAAUGACAAGUCGAGUCAAGUCCUCGCGAACACGUCAGGAGCCGGCUUCGGAAAGUCGCCGCACCAUCUUGCCCCGUCACAUAUUCCCGCGUGACUUUGCACUGUCCUGUUGCUAGCUUGCUUUGCUAACUAGCAAAACGUUGUCUACGACUUGAUUGUCUCAUGCUAGCAAAGAUGGGAAGAGCUGGAGAGAGCGUAAGCCGUGACUUCCUGAAGGAAGUUCGGGCCUUCGCAUUCCCACUCCUUGCGUGUUUCGCUGACUGCCAAGGAUGUCAUUUCCCAACAUGCGCUUUUUCAUCUGCUCAAGUCAUCUUGCUCCCAACCCAACAAGCGCAACAAGACGCUCGAGGCCCAUAAAACGGAGACCGAAACAAAACACCAGUUGGGAAAACAAGAAGAGUCAGUGCGAGGCAAAUCAAACGUGUUUACAGUUUUUUGCCUGCCAAAUUCACAUGAUUCUUGCUCAUGGACAUCCACUUCCUGUUUCUGUCUUUAGGUCUUCCUCUUUGCCGUUAAGUAAAACUCAUCAAGUUCUCACAAAGGCAUUUUAGUUAGCUCCAUAAACAGACAUUUGCAUCUUGGCUCGCUUGCCGUUCCUACUCCAAGCGAUUCCGAAGGCAGAGUGCUGGAAAGAAAGUUAACCAAACAAGUCCCGGCAACAAAGAGGAAUUCCGCUACGGGUGACGAAUGAUCACGCAUAGCCAAACGACUGCAGUCAUCAGUCACACACUCGGGAAGCGCCUCCGAGCCAGAGUGGAAGAAAUGGAAAAACAAAAGGAGUCCAUUGGGCCACUGGGAAAAGUCGCAGCACCGCGUUGAAAUUUGUGUUCUGCGUUUGCCACCGAAACCGUAGCGGAAUAAGGUCGACGCGAUUAUGCCACUCAUGGGGAUUCCUGCAAAUUCGGGCCGCAAUUCCACCAGCGGGUUUGCUUCGACAUGGUCGAGAGGAAAUCAUUUUCACCUUGUGGAAAAUGUGAGGAGAACCGAGGCCAUGGCGCAUGAGUCAUUAGCCAGCUAUCUUUGGGGGGGGGUUCUUGCCUCGGCCAGCCGGACUUGUUUACUUUGUAGACAGAAGAGUUGGGAGGCACAUGAGGGGACGAGAGGAUGGUCGUUAAAGUUUCUGGGACCGUCUUGCGGAGUUGAACACGUGGUCGCCCGCCUCGUGUCGGAAAUACUUCGUUUGUCAAGUUCGCUGUUGGAGAGUGACAGCUGCCAACAUCCUGGCGAGGUCCAAUGGCCCAUGACUUACUUGAAAAGCAGAAGGUUUCUACUCAAUCCCAAGUUUCACUGAUAAUUGUCUGUCUCCCUUUUUCUGAAUUGGACGGGAAUGUGAGGAAAAUGAUCAUUGUCAAUGAGUGCCAAAGACAAAAUGCUUGAAGGACACGCUUACCCUGAAUCAUUUGAUCUAGGCCAUGGCAAAGCCAGUCAAAGUUCAGCUUUAACCAAUUGCAAAGCUCUUUGCUACAACAGCUGAGACAUUUUAGUUCACUCGGUUGAAAAUGGCGGUGGCGUAGCAAAUGCAGAAGGCUUCCGAGCGCCGUUAACCGCAAGCUUGGAAGCAAUUCUGCAAACGGAGGCAGAAAAUGUCCAGAGCUUUUGGAAUAACGCCGUCUCGUCUUACAGUCUAUAGUGAAGGAGAUGAGGUCAGCCCGAGUCUGGAAGUACAAAAUGUGGAGGGUUUACAAAAGCAUUAUUAUUUAUUGGAGUGACUCAGAGCGUGUCUGGCAAUGGCGUCCUCUAGUGAUGCCACAUCUUUAUUGGUAGGAUUUUGCCUUCUUGGUUACCACAGCCAAGGAUGGGUGGGCGUCAUGACUGUUGUACCCCAGCACAUUGCUCAGUGCAAAAGCACAAAGCUGCUUCUGUCCAAAAAGGAGUCAACCAAAUGACGCCUUAUCAUUGGCAGGGGCUCAAAAAGGACCGUUACGAGAGAGCUGAAAGUCGCCGUGGUCGCCGAGCUGAGUGAGUGAUGGGCAAGCAAAGGUGACCUGAGGCAGAUGGCAGAUGCGUGAGUCAUGACAGCUCCUACGUAUGUGCAGAACUCUUGCAGUUGCUCCCGGGAAGGAAGGAAGGAUCAGGAACAGCGCCUGCAGUGACGCGUGUGUGCCUGCCGCUUAUCUUUUGAUUUCACCGGCAGCGUGUUCGGCUUCCUCCACAAUAAUUCACGGAGCUCAGCUUUCUUAUCGGGUACGGACUUGUUUGCUGCGAAAGGAAACGCUAAGUGGGUUGCUCCACGAGUCAAGAUGCUCGCUCGUUCCUUCAAAGCCAGCCUCCUCUUUUUUACUUUUUAUUUUUAUUUAUUUGGUUAUUUUAAUAUAUAUAUAUAAUAUAUAUAUAUAUAUAUUUUUAUUUUUUUUUUUAUUUGUACACACACACAAAACAUUAUUAUAGACUACAAUGAUAGACGAUUUUGUCUUGGUAUGUGUCGUUGAUCAACAAUAUUUAAAUGUGUCAGUGACAAAUCUGCUUUUGUGGCUCUUCAUGGUGCACAGGGAAUGUACACUGAAGCUCAAGUCAAACAAUGACCUCAUUGCUCCGCCCCCCCCCCCCCCCAGACUGGGACUGGCAGAGUCAUUAUCGUUGUUUCCUGUCGAUGCAACUGGCCUGGAAUCCCCCACUUUAAAAGUGCUGGCCAAGGGGCAGAAAAGGUUGAGGGGGCAAAGCUGUGCGCUCGAUGAUUUCGGGACGGACGGACGGACGGACAGGGGACGCUCGCUGGUCCUGGCUUACAGCUGCCCCUUCAUUCCUGUUCCUCCAGAGAAGCGCGGCUGCUUUCUUCACAUUAUUUGGCGUUCAGCUUCGUCCCAUUUGCUUUGUGCAAGUGUUCCUUUAAGAAGUGGGUCAAAGCGAGCUCCCCAGAGUUCUGAUUUUCAUCAUUUGCGCUCUUCCCUUCAGCCAUGUUUACUUUCGACAUAGUAUCUAUCAUUCGCCUUGCGCUCUGAGAAGGGGCUGAACAUAAGCUCCGCCCGUAAUACACCUUCUAACGGAAUGAGAUGAUUAUUUGACGAGGUAAUCCAUCAUCUGAACAAAAGUGGAAGGGGAAGGCCUCGCCGUGGCUCCCCCUUUCAAAAGCUGCGAGUCUCCACUUGCCUCAGGACGCCUGAGAAGAGUGCAGCGGUUCAAGAGAAAGGACAAUCUGUAUUGUAUUUUUCAACAUUUCCACGAGAAAAAGCUGCGGGCUGAUAGCGAACGGCGGCCCGUGAGAAAAAGCUGAUGGCUGAUAGCGAGGAUCGGGCCACGGCCCUUUUCGUCACGAUGGCAUGACUUCAUCUUCUGCACACAGAAGUGCUUUCAUAUUUUCUAAAGCCGAGCUAGUGUGAACGCUCCAUGAUUUACAAGCAGCCUCAGUGUUCAACGAGUCUCGCCCUUUUGAAGGGUGAGCGCAAAUUUCCAGGUCAUGCACUGUAAGUGUCUGAACGGGAAAAUGUGCAGAAAGGUGCCUAAGCUCAGCGACACCAAAAGAUGGCAGUGGGCUUGAAGGGCCAUUUCCUACCAAGAGGCCUGUAAUCACUUGACAGGCUAAUAUUGAUGGUUGCAAAAGAAGUGACACCCAAUGCUUUUGUGCAGGUUGUUGUCUUGGAGUGAAACAUCAAAUAAAAUAGUGAGUACAACGUA
Syngnathus typhle (broad-nosed pipefish) is the source of this 3889-nucleotide long non-coding RNA. RefSeq lists it as uncharacterized. NCBI's taxonomy places the organism in Eukaryota, Metazoa, Chordata, Actinopteri, Syngnathiformes, Syngnathidae. The transcript has 2 exons. The record is from RefSeq and is a predicted model, not a curated record.